CUGUCCCUCAGACCUUCUUGGGGGCCAGACUAUAUUUUGAAAAAAAAAUAUGAACAAAUUCCUAUAUGUUCAUAUUUUUUUUUCAAAAUAUAGUCUGGCCCCCAAGAAGGUCUGAGGGACA
Non-coding RNA from Podarcis lilfordi (Lilford's wall lizard), 121 nucleotides. Lineage: Eukaryota; Metazoa; Chordata; Lepidosauria; Squamata; Lacertidae. The record is from the annotation of a GenBank genome assembly.